RNAcentral lists this long non-coding RNA (1978 nucleotides) under Daucus carota (carrot). RNAcentral describes it as "long non-coding RNA (DCAR_LNC002019)". Lineage: Eukaryota; Viridiplantae; Streptophyta; Magnoliopsida; Apiales; Apiaceae. The record is from RNAcentral.
CCGAAACUUGAUUCACUUCUACAGCAGACUCCACAUAAGAGCUAAUGAGUCUUCUUGUUGCCCUGUCGGUUCACUAUCAAGUAUUCAAGUUUUAACCUUGUGCAAUGCUGCAGGUGACGAAUAGUAUAACUUGAAAAUCUUAGGAAGCCACACAGGCAACAAAAACCCGAACAAAUUGAAGCACCACAGCACCAUAUUAGCCACAACAAUACUUCUUCCGGCAUAUAUCCUUAUUGCACUGCUGGAACUCGCGAAAUCUCCCCCACCGUAUUCCAUCGAAAACUCGUCUCUCAGCCACUCUAUGAGGGUUGAAAUCCUCACUGAAUUAUACACCACGGGAACAUAUACUCGUAUGGGGAGUGAAAACUUAUCCGAAAACCCCACUCCUUCCAUGAAUACUUGACAUAACAAAAGAAAAAGAUGAGGCACAGCUGGUUUGAUGCUCUCUUUAUGACCAAAAAAGAAACCUUCCGUUACGUAGGCUAUGGGGACAACAAGGCCAAUAAUGCCAGUGACAAUGAUGUAGAAGCCCAUAAACUUAAGCUGUUUAGAUGUGAGAAUAGGAGGAUAGGAAACGUUGGGGAUAACCGGAAAAGCAACCAUAGAAAGGAAAUACAUGUAGAUGAUAGUAAAGACUACAAAUGCAAAUUCUUGGGGCCUUACCAUUCUAGAAAACGAGAGGAGAACUAUUACAGCCAAAAUAAUAUAGUGCCGCAGAGUCAAAGAGUAUAAAUUUUUGGUACUAGUUUUGGGGACUGCUACCUUGUGAUUGUUCUCACUGGAUGGACUAGCCACACCAGACAUUUUUCUCAGAGGUUUGUUAAAGUCCCUCGAGUUGAGGGUUUUUAAAGUCCCUCAGAUUUCUCUGAUUUGUGGAAAUGAUAGGAGAACCCAAGGUAAGAUAUAAGAUAAUGAAGUUGAGUGGAUAGAAUUUCUGUGAUGGCAGAUCUAUAUAUCGAAGGCUGACGUGGCGGUUUCCAAAACUCUUAUUCUAAUUUUCUUGAAUUUUUAGAAUGUCAAUGCUUAUUGAUUAAUAUUUUCAAAUUUUGAGAUUUCAGAACCUCAUAUAAAUUUAGUAGUAUAUGUAGUGGUCUAGCGGACAUUUCCAAAUGAUAUAUUAUUUAAUUAGUCGGAUUUGGAUGGAAGAUUACAGUGUUCAAGCUUGAAUAGAUUCCGAGACUUGAACCACCUAUACAUAAGUUUCAGUGAUCAAGGUAGUAAGCGGUAAUUAUAUCGAGUAGUGCUAGGUGCACAUAAUUGUUUACAUAAAAUUUGUACAUAAUGAUGUGGCAAUUGAGGUGGAGGGUUUUAAUUGGGGUGGUUGAUGUGAAUACAGAGAGCCCAUUCCAAUUAAAACCUCCCACAUGUCAUUAUGUACAUAAUUCUGUAUACAAUUAUGUGCACCAAGCAUUUUCCAAUUAUAAGAGGAUGUACAAAUGCAAGUCGAAGCACUUCUUCACCUGUUGUAUACAUACUUAAUCUGAUCUAAUACAUAUAUUAUGUAAUAAAAUUGUAUAAAUGAUAUGAAAUGAUAUAUACUCGAAUUUAUAUAUACAAAUUUAUUUUAUUUUAUAUAAUUAACUGUUCGGUGUGUAGCGCGGGUAAAACGCUAGUUUCUUACAAUAAUUGAUUAAUUAGCAUAAAAGAAAUUUCUCUUAUGCUCACUUCCGUCGUUCACAACAUAGUUCCAACAUAAUGCUAAUCUAAAAACAUCACCCGAAACUUGAUUCACUUCUACAGCAGACUCCACAUAAGAGCUAAUGAGUCUUCUUGUUGCCCUGUCGGUUCACUAUCAAGUAUUCAAGUUUUAACCUUGUGCAAUGCUGCAGGUGACGAAUAGUAUAACUUGAAAAUCUUAGGAAGCCACACAGGCAACAAAAACCCGAACAAAUUGAAGCACCACAGCACCAUAUUAGCCACAACAAUACUUCUUCCGGCAUAUAUCCUUAUUGCACUGCUGGAACUCGCGAAAUCUCCC